ACUGGGCGUGGUGGUGUGCGCCUGUAAUCCCAGCUACUCAGGAGGUUGAGGCAGGAGAAUUGCUUGAACCCAGGAGGUGGAGGUUGCAGUGAGCCAAGAUCACGCCACUGCACUCCAGCCUGAGCAAUAGAGCAAGACUCUGUCUCAA
This 148-nucleotide small RNA is filed under the name Cercocebus atys (sooty mangabey). Its description in RNAcentral is "Metazoan signal recognition particle RNA". The record is from Rfam by way of RNAcentral. RNAcentral also lists the same sequence under 1 other name. Lineage: Eukaryota; Metazoa; Chordata; Mammalia; Primates; Cercopithecidae.